GGGUACCAUCAUUCCUCAUUCUUGUUUGAUUUCAUUCCCCAGCCCUACCUGCCCCCAAUGAACGGCAUCUUCAGGAACUGGAGACUCUGAAUGGGGGCUAAAUUACAGAGCUACUCAUCCUUGGAACCACCAGGCCUAAAGCCCUUCUCACAACAGGAGUGUACUGAGAAUGUGGGGCAGCUCCAAAGACAAGCCUCUCUGGUUUCACAAGCUCCUGGAUACCAGGGUGAAAGAUGACCAAGAGAAUUCUAGGUGUCCAGAAUCCAUUCCCUGUCUGGCUAGCCCUCUUCUGCAGAGGAAAACACCACCUCUGACUCUGGGGGCAGCUGAGAGAAGAAGCUCAGGGCAGAACAGCGGCAAGAUGAUUCCCAACCUACUCUACAACUGCGUAGAAUAGGGCAUGUCCAGAGAAGCCAGUGAUUAUAAGAAGCAAGAGGCUGGAGUGUGACCUCCAAAUGGAAAGAGCAAGAUGAAGGACAUAAACAUGCUCUGGGUGUGAGGUAAGUACCUGAUAUGGAAUCUACCCUGAGCUAGGAGUGGGAGACCAGGGCAAAUUAGGAAGGCUUUGCCAGGAAUUCACUGAUUUAUAGGAGUAAAAGCCUUAUAAGCCUAUCAAAUAAAGUCUAC
This 627-nucleotide long non-coding RNA is filed under the name Ictidomys tridecemlineatus (thirteen-lined ground squirrel). Its description in RNAcentral is "lncRNA (ENSSTOG00000029841.1)". Lineage: Eukaryota; Metazoa; Chordata; Mammalia; Rodentia; Sciuridae. The record is from RNAcentral.